Molecule: transfer RNA, 79 nt
Filed under: Gluconobacter oxydans
Lineage: Bacteria; Pseudomonadati; Pseudomonadota; Alphaproteobacteria; Acetobacterales; Acetobacteraceae
Also listed under: 1 other name
Description: tRNA-Thr
Rfam family: tRNA
About the family: Transfer RNA (tRNA) molecules are approximately 80 nucleotides in length. Their secondary structure includes four short double-helical elements and three loops (D, anti-codon, and T loops).
Source: RNAcentral
GCGCAGGUAGCUCAGAUGGUUAGAGCGUUCUGUCUAGUCAACAGAGAGGUCGCGGGUUCGAAUCCCGUCCAGCGCACCA